UUUCCUUUUCUUUUGGCGGACUUAACAUUUAGCAAUGAGUUUGCUGUUAUUUAUUUAUCUGAACUUGUAGUAAUCUAUAGUAAUCUUAACAGAUGUAGUUCUUCUUAUUGCACCUUUUUUAUUCUCUAAUUCUUCAGUUUAUUGUUUUGUUCUCCGUCAGUCUUAACUGCAUUUGAACAUUUCUCAAAUGUUGAUUUGUAUCAUUUGCUUUCCUUUCACUUCUAUCACUUUAUUUUCACCUCUUAAGGUGAGAAUUUCUCGAUUAUUCGUCUGUUUUUUCUCUUUUUUUUGGCGAACGUCUUUUUGAUCUCAGAUCAGCAGAAAAAGAAAAAUCCUCAGUUGUUUUUAUUUAAUCACCUUCGGCAAAGAAGACUGAAAUAUUUGGGUCUUUUUUCAGAUUCCUGUUCAGAAUUUCCUCAUGUCUGCAUUCUGGGGUCAGACGAGGUCAUGACUUUUCCAGUGUGUGACCUACAUUUCCCCCAAAGGGCAAAAACCCCAGGUGGGGCAAAACAUUCUGUUCUAUCUGCGGAAAAACACCGGAGAAUCUGUUUGGGAGAAAAUGUAAUAGCUUUAACUUCAACUUUAUUUUUGUAUUUUCCUUAUUUUUUAUGUUUUUUUUUUGUUUUGUUUUUUGGAUGAAGACGCCAGGAAACGUCAGAGCAGCUCAGAAAGCUUCAGGUGGAUUUUCUCGCAGAAGAAAAGUUCAAAAGCAGAGGAUUCAGUCUGAGUGUGGAGCGAAAAACAGACUAGAAAUGUCAGAGAACGAAACACAAAAAGGAAACAAAAGUCAAACUGUUUCAAAAUAAAAGCAGAAAGAAGUAAACAAAUAGAAGAACCAAAAACGGAAAAAUCCUGUUGACAUCAAAAAACAAAAGGUUUUAUAAAUACUUUAACGUUUUAGCUACGAAGACAAAAAGGAACUAAAUCUUAAUGCUUAAAUUCUUCAUUUUAUACAUUUCAAAUCGAAUAGUUCCUGUUUUUUCAUAAAGAAUUCAUUAAAAACAGGGUUUCUGGAUGGUAAUCGAUAACUAAUCAAUUCCUUUCAGGUCAUGUGAUCCUGAUUGAAGGGGAGCCGUCUUGUGGUGGUUUUUUUAUGUUUACGUCUCAAACAGCAGCUUCUGACCCCAAAAACCCACAGAUUCCAACUGUAUUAGUGAGAAAAACACUAAAGGAAUGAAAAUAACACAGAAUGAUGGACAAAAGAAACAGAAAAAGAUUAAAAAAGCAACAAAUUCAGCAAUAAAUCCUAUUUUAACACCUUUUAUUAUUAAAAUCCAGUUGUCUAAUGUAUUAAUAAUCUUCCAAAAGAGCUAAAAAAAAAUAACAGAAUAGAAAAAUAAUUAUGAAAAUGACUAAAGGUAAAUUAUUCAAAUAUAUAAAUAAAACAAAACAAAAAACUGAAUGUGUGGAAGAUUGAUCAACGUGAGACUUGUUUUUGUUCCUGUUUAAGCUUUAUUCAUAAAACUGUGAGAUUUCUAAAAAUAAACCGAUCUCAGAAAUGCUAAAUAAUCAUAAAAAUGCACGUUUGUUCCUAAAUUCUAAUCUAAAUCAAUAAUGUGAAGGAUGACGCUGUGGUACAGCGGUCGACCUCGGAGGAUCUCACUUUUCCCCUCAUGGUUCAGCGUCUGGAUCAGCAGCCUGACUGAAUCGGCGCCCCUGUCCUUGUUUUACGUAAAAUGUGUGGAAAAAAAGUCAAUCAUGACAACAAACUGCCACAAGCCCCAGAUGCCAGAAGGCGUGGCGCCACAGGGGAACCGUCUCUGGGCGAAGCACCGGCGUCUGAAGUAAAGAGCGCCCCUUAAACGAGGUCAGCCGCUGCUGGAAGAUGAUUGUGUUCAUGAGAAGGAAGGUUUGCUUCACGUCAGCUGGGAUGUUUUCUCCCUGCAGCUGUUGUUGUUGUUGACAGACGGAGUCGUCACGGUGAAGCUGCAUCCGGCGAGCGUUCAGAACGCCACGUUUGCUUCUUUUUCCACACGAGCGGCUCCCUGAGUCACGCACAAACAUCCGUUCCUCACAUGGUCGGUGGGGCGAGGAGCUGAUGUGAUGACGGGAGGCUGACGAAGUCAGGAAUAGCUAACCUGAUGCCUGAGAAGCUACGAGGCGAUCAAUAAAAAACCGCAGGACGAGUUUUCAUUUGAAUCUGCAACUGAAGUGAAACGGAUCUCAGAGAUCACCGCAGCUGAGUGCCACGGAAACGUGAAAAGUUUGUGAGCUCAUCAGAGAGCUGGAGAAGACGCCGGAGGGAGCGGGAAAGCGCACGAGUGACCGAGUCAUCCCCACGCCGCUCACAAACUCCAUCCUCCGACAAAUGUAAUCACAGCAGAAGGCGGCGGCGGCGGAGGAUGGGGGGUGGGGGGUGAUCCAGGCUGUCCUGAGGGCUGAGGAGAACACCACACAUGUAUGGAAGCCCAUUUGGGUCAAAUUCUAUCUCACAAUUAUGACGUUUUAGAGGUUAUUGUCCGACAGCACAUAUCCCAUAACCUCCAGUUGGAUAACUGUUCACUAUUUUAAAAACUAUCUUUGGCCGUUCUGUUUUUGUCCCAAUGGAGCUUCUGUACGCCUUUUCUUAAAAGUGGGGGGGGGUUGCUGGUCGUGUGUGCGCCUCAGGGGCGUCGUUACAGACGGAUGAGCUGCAGACGUCUUCUGAUGAUGGGAGGGCCGUUGGGGCUGUGGGGAGGCGGCUGGCGGCUUAGAGAAGACGAGUGAAUCAUCAAACCCUGGAAGGGAGCAGCGUCCGUCGUUCAGGGUCGUUCUUCGUCUUCUCACAGACUCGUCACCGGUUCUUCAGAAAAGCCAGUUUCCGUUUGGAACAGCUGUCACUGUCGGAGACAGAAAACAACAAAAGCCUCACACUUCCAUCAGAUUUAGUCUGGUUCCAUGAAAAGAAGUCCAGCCGGUUCCUUUCUUGUGGGUCAGAACCAUUGACCAUAUCUGAGAACUGGACCGUCACCCGUUGAAAGCGGUUUACUGUCGGCUUCAAUCACAUGAGGCGGAUUCAGGCGCCAUUUGGACCAGCAUGGAUGGCGCCGUAUUCAGGCUUCCGUUGAUUUCUGACAAUGCACGCCGAGUCAGGCAUUAUCUCACAUAAUGCACACCUCCAUGGGCAUUACACCUUACUUACCCCUUGGCCUCCCAAUGUUAAUGUGCCUACAAGUCACGUUAACAUUGGGAGUUGGGUCAUCUAGACCCACUAGACAGUGCUCUGAACCUUUUUUCUUCAAUGAUUUGUGAUCUUCACUGGUGUCCAUGGAUUACAUGAAAUCUUUCCACCUUUAUCCACCUUUGUCAUGGUAGAGGAGAACACGUCAAAGUAAGGGUGGGGUCAUCUGGGCCCCACAAUAUAGCACAAGAGUUGUACCAUGGUCUGGAUCGCUACUUGAUUCUGAUUUGCUGCAAGGUGGGAAUUAAAAAGUUAUAAGGAACGCCUAAAACAGAAGUUCCAGUCACUCAGUCUAAAUGUUCUGUAUCACUGUAGCCCCAGGGCAGCUGUGGCUACAUCAGUAGCUACCAUCACCAAGCAUGAAGGAGGAGUGAAUGAAUGAUGGACACAUUAUAAACGUUGUGAGCAUAUGGAAAAGCGCAGAUUAAUCCAAUUAAUCCAAUCACCAUGCUGGCCUGUUCGCCAAUUGGUAACACGUCCACAGUUUAUCACGAGACAGAAGAAAGGAUGAGUCACUUUGUAGUUUUCUUUAACCUGUUUGGUUAAUUGGAUCAUCUUGAAGUCUGGGCGGCAGCAGAACGAGAGGAGAAUCUAAGUAGGAGGAGAUGAGACACGAGGAGGAAUCGAAACUUUUGCUUCAUCAUCCGGACUAAAACGAGCAGGAAGAGGUGAACUUUCCCUCUGAAAUGAUACUUUGCUGAAUUCAUCAAUAUCGAUCGGCGUGUAAACGACUUUCCUCCGCUGCUUCGGAGCGAGGUCGAUGCAGGCUCUGUAGCCGUUACCAUGACAACACUUUGAGCCCCGUAUCAGAUACUCCACGUUUUGUGAAAAAUGAUUAAAACUUAGAAAAUACUAAGAAUAAAGUACUGAUAAUUUAUUGAAAAUGCAUUUAUUUGAUAUGUGACCAUGGUAAAAGCAGAAAAAUAAGCGAACGAGUUCGCCUUUCAGGCAGGUAGACUCUGCAGUAUUACGGUUACUCCCCUAGGGCGGUAGUAAUUAACUCACCUGUUCAGUGUCCUAUUUAAGUCCAGGUGUGCAGCCGUUCAUUCUCUUCCUUACCGCAAUCGCUGCAUUUGUCGCCCAACCCUCCUCCCCGGCUUCCACCUGUGGGCUACAUUCGGGGUUAUUACCCAAAAGUUUUAUGGAAAAAAUUAUCUCAUGGAAUUGUACGGAGCCUAAAGCCAAACGAAAAGAUUGUGAAUGCCAACUUAUGAAUGUAAAAUUUCUACUGCAUGAGUUUGCCUGACUGAAAUGGCCUUUGAGUUAUCAGAACUUAAUGUCGCAGAAAUGAGGCGACCGUGUCGCGUCUUUAACAUUUCUUUUUUUUUCUUUUCUUCUUUUUCUUAACGUUUCUGAUAUGGCACACCUUGUCCUUUACUGCUAAGAACCAUCAUGCUACUGUACAAUAGUUGUCUUUUUUAAUGUAAUAUUGUUUUUAAAAAAAGAUAAAAAUGUGUGAUAAAACUGCAAAAAAGAAAGUAAAAAAAACAAGAAUGAGGAAAAAAAGUCAAACUGAACUAUAUAGUUGAAUGACAAA
Long non-coding RNA from Oryzias latipes (Japanese medaka), 4697 nucleotides. RefSeq lists it as uncharacterized. The record is from RefSeq and is a predicted model, not a curated record. NCBI's taxonomy places the organism in Eukaryota, Metazoa, Chordata, Actinopteri, Beloniformes, Adrianichthyidae.